CCAGGGACGCAGCUCAGUGGUAGAGCAUUUGCCUAAUAUACACAAGGCCCUGGGUUUGAUUCCCCAGCACUGGG
This 74-nucleotide transfer RNA is filed under the name Marmota monax (woodchuck). Its description in RNAcentral is "tRNA.Ile". Lineage: Eukaryota; Metazoa; Chordata; Mammalia; Rodentia; Sciuridae. The record is from RNAcentral.